CCUACGGGAGGCAGCAGUGGGGAAUUUUGCGCAAUGGGGGAAACCCUGACGCAGCGACGCCGCGUGCAGGAUGACGGCCUUCGGGUUGUAAACUGCUGUCGUACGGGACGAAACCCCAACGUAUGAAUAAGACGUUGGUCUGACGGUACCGUGCAAGAAAGCCCCGGCUAACUCCGUGCCAGCAGCCGCGGU
This 192-nucleotide ribosomal RNA is filed under the name uncultured bacterium. RNAcentral's name for it is "partial 16S ribosomal RNA". It matches the Rfam family "Bacterial small subunit ribosomal RNA", at positions 338 to 521 of the family's 1533-position model. The record is from RNAcentral.